GAUGAACGCUGGCGGCGUGCCUAAUACAUGCAAGUCGAGCGAACAGACGAGGAGCUUGCUCCUCUGACGUUAGCGGCGGACGGGUGAGUAACACGUGGAUAACCUACCUAUAAGACUGGGAUAACUUCGGGAAACCGGAGCUAAUACCGGAUAAUAUAUUGAACCGCAUGGUUCAAUAGUGAAAGACGGUUUUGCUGUCACUUAUAGAUGGAUCCGCGCCGCAUUAGCUAGUUGGUAAGGUAACGGCUUACCAAGGCAACGAUGCGUAGCCGACCUGAGAGGGUGAUCGGCUACACUGGAACUGAGACACGGUCCAGAAUCCUACGGGAGGCAGCAGUAGGGAAUCUUCCGCAAUGGGCGAAAGCCUGACGGAGCAACGCCGCGUGAGUGAUGAAGGUCUUCGGAUCGUAAAACUCUGUUAUUAGGGAAGAACAAAUGUGUAAGUAACUAUGCACGUCUUGACGGUACCUAAUCAGAAAGCCACGGCUAACUACGUG
This 497-nucleotide ribosomal RNA is filed under the name uncultured bacterium. RNAcentral describes it as "partial 16S ribosomal RNA". It matches the Rfam family "Bacterial small subunit ribosomal RNA", at positions 28 to 507 of the family's 1533-position model. The record is from RNAcentral.